AACAAAGGCAGAAUAUUAAUACACAACAUCAAAUAAUAGGGGAAAAAAAGAGAAUUGUAUUUACCUUUAUUUAAGCAAAGAAUUAAGAUAAUCACACAGCAUCAGAAGGGGGUACGGUCACAUGGUUAUCAGCAUUGUGUAUCAGAUUCAUUAGUCAAGCCCAGUGAAAAUGAUGCUCUUUUCUACUUCAAUUUCCCCUUCCUGAAGUACCUUUGGCAUGAUUGAAUUAAUUUUUCUCUACUCAUUUUGAUGUCUUCUGCCAUCCACAUUACAGAUAUUACAUUUCUUUCUCAACCAAAGCACGUCUACACUUAUAAAUGUGUCACUGCUGAUUUUGGUUCAGCUCUCCACGUAGCUUAAUUCAUCAUCUUCAGUUUUUUUAAAAGUUGCUUAUAUGUUGCUGACGUAAAAUAAAACAGACAUUUAAUGGAUGAAAGAUUUUUAUUGGCAUCCAAUAAAAAAAACUCUGCUUUGCUUUCAUUCCACCUCUUCUGUCAGAAAUUCUGCGGUGUAUAUACAAUGAAUGUUUCACUGUUCAACAAGGUACAGAAAUAGCCAGCUAAUUCAAUGCCCUGCCAUUUUAUGUGACGUGUCUUCUGUUUCUUCCAGCUGGCAAAACUAUUAGAGUCACUGGAGUACAGUGAUGAGGCUGUGUGAUUCCCUUGUGAGGCUGAACUGAAAAGUAAUAUGGGCUGAAAAAGAUGGGGCAGAACAGCGGGUGUCAUGGAGAUAGAAAUGGUUUGAUGGCAGAAAUCAAUGGCAUCGCUUCAGGCACUUAAUGGGAUUUUUCUUUCUGAAAAAGGAGCACUUUAUGUGGAGUAAACCCUGUUUUCAAGUGUGUGUUGUGCUAAGCAAUAAUGUUUUACAGCAUGCUGAAAGAAGAUUUUCAAAGUUUUACAAAUCAUGUCAUUACAAAGCUUUUGUAUGACAUUGCACCGCCUUCCCAACCAACGAAAAACCCCUGAACUUACUGUCAUUCACAGUGUUAAAAAAUUCUUUACACUCUUAUUUUCUUAGAUGCAUUACACCUUCAGUUGUGCAAUAUUCAUGCAAAGGUGCAUAUAAAAAUUUCUUUUCAACAAAAUUAGUAAAUGUGUUGGAUUGAGCUACCCACACCUCAUUUUCUGAAAUGUUUUUCCCAAAAUGUAAUAACUAUAGAGACUUUUCAUUCCAUAUUUGGUGGUGACUUGAACAAAAUUGUGCUGUGGACACAAAUUUUGGUGACUGUUAAUUUACGUUCGGGCGAUGUACGUUUAACGAGACACUUGAACCAAACGGAAAUGGAGAACAUAACAUAGCAUUCACAGGCGGAUGAUAAAACGAACAUAAUAUAUACAAAAUAAGGAUUUAUAAUGCAAUAGAUUAUAUUAGAAAAUAAAAAUAUAGAUAUUAAUAAUUGCUGGAUGUUUUACAACAUUUGUGCAAAGUUUUGUUUGAUUAGUUCAAAAAAGAAAAAUCUGAAGAGAGCAUGAAAACUUCCAGACUGGUAGACUUUUUAAAAAAUUCUGUUGUUUAGCUGCACGCUCUGGCCAAAUCUGCAGCUGACAUCUUGUUUUUAAUAACGGCCAACAUGGUGUAGUUCCUCAAGUCGGAAAUUCUGAGUACCCAGUUGUAAAUUUUUUAUGGAAGCCCCCUCAACUUGGAUUUCCCACUCAGAAAGUCGGAACAGACCAACAUACCCCGAAUUAGCAAGCCAAGAUGGCGGCACUGAACGUAACCAGUAGCAUCUCUUCUGCUACUGUUGUGUAUUUUUCACUCACUAAAUAAGCCAUACACAGAGCACUGAUCAGGCUUUAUCCAUGAAUGUGUGCACAAAAAAUAAGUAUUAUACUGUAUUGCUAGUGACAACUGAAUGGCUCUACUUAGCUAAGAACCAAAACAAAUCCUGUUUUCCGUCACUUUUUCUGGAACGUGCUAACUCGUGAGUGACGUCACUCCUGAGUUUUAACUUCAAGUUCUGAGGUAUCUGAAAUAGGUUACUGGUUAGAACAGGUAACUCAUAUACAGUAAAGCUAAUGUCGAGGCCUGGGUUUGAAUUUGCUCCUGUCCUAUAAAGGUUAAAAAACACAAAAAUAUGUAUGUAUAUUUAAAAAAAGCACCUAUUAAAAUGCAUGUUUUGAGAGCACACUGAAAAGGUAAAAGCCUCUGCGCUUCUUUUACAUGUGGCUAAAAAGUAGCUGCACCUCUGAUUAGGGCUGUGUCACAUCGAAUUGUUCGCAAUAAUACCGGUGUAAAGUUUUACGUGAUAUUAAAAUGUUACAUUGCGAUAUUAUUGUUAUAGGAAUGUCAUUAGUUUACACUCCCCAGUGUGAACAACAAUGCAACAAGCCCGGACGUGUCUGUGCUUUGUAAAGUAAGCAGAAAAAGAAAAUUGUUCUUAGUAAAGAUUGAAAUAACAAACUCGUUUCACCACUUGAUGCUAAAAACAUAUGCUGUUGAGUGCAACCAGGUUGUGAAGGACGAGAUUCUAGCAGCUGGUGACGUGCGACCCAAAUGUAAACAACUCAACCCAGCAAUGCUAGCUGCUUUCCAUGUGACAGGAAGAGCAAACAGUGACACAAUGGAAAAGCAGGAGUUUAGCUGGUCAAAGAGCUCGACCCAAGAUUCAACAUCCCAGAGUCAGCUAACCUGUGAAGCAGUUUUCAUCAAAUUGAAAUGACGAUCGUGCAUUUGAUCGAGCUUGUCCUGGUGACUACUGAAGUUCCUCUCUGAGCUGAGAGUUUUCCAGGCAUUUCUCGGUGUGCUGAACCGACAGCAUCUCCAGCUCCUUCUGCAAUAACUGGAUCUCCUUCCUUUGAUGACAAAGCAAAGCACAGAUGACGACGAACGGGAAAGCAAGCAGUUGUCUCAUCCUCCAUGAUCUUGGCUGGUUUAUUAAUUCAUAAAUCUCAUUGCAAGUAAAGAUUGUGUUUUAAAAAGCUAUUAUGAAAGAAUGUGUAUUUGUCAUUUGCCGUCUGUGUUUAAUAGAUUUCCAAUGAUGAUCACUCUCAUUAAUGUCAUUUUUAAUUAAAACUGCCAUCCCAGUUCAGACUUUAUUCUGGUGCAACCUAUUAAAGCCUUAUCACACUCAAAAUAAGACAAAAGUAUGUCUUAUGACAGAUUAUACUACCAAAUAUUCAUAUAAACAACAUUAAUGGAUCUGCACAGGAAGCCAUAAAGGGAAACUGAGAGAUGAGUCAUUCAACAGAAAGCCCUGUAUGUGUGUUUGUAUAUAUCGUAUAUGCACUUUAGUCAGUCUGUCUCAUGAAUAAAUGAAAAGUUAAAACAACAAUGAAAAAGGCUGUUAUUGUUGUAGCUUUCACAUCUGUAUAUAUGCAUCCUACAGAUUUACAAUCUUUUUAAAUGAAAAUGAUGUUGCACACAGGGGGAAAAAUAGCUCUAACUAACCUGCAGUUCUAGAAACAUUUCAUACCGUUAACACUGUUACCUGCUCACGAUAUGAAGAACAAGUAACAAGCACAAAUACAGUACAACACCUCUACAGUAAAUGCUGCAAUAAAAUA
Long non-coding RNA from Oreochromis niloticus (Nile tilapia), 3503 nucleotides. RefSeq lists it as uncharacterized. The record is from RefSeq and is a predicted model, not a curated record. The transcript has 3 exons. NCBI's taxonomy places the organism in Eukaryota, Metazoa, Chordata, Actinopteri, Cichliformes, Cichlidae.